This 274-nucleotide ribosomal RNA is filed under the name uncultured bacterium. Its description in RNAcentral is "partial 16S ribosomal RNA". It matches the Rfam family "Bacterial small subunit ribosomal RNA", at positions 523 to 796 of the family's 1533-position model. The record is from RNAcentral.
AUACGGAGGGUGCAAGCGUUACUAGGAAUCACUGGGCGUAAAGGAUGCGUAGGCGGAUAAUCAAGUCAAAAGUGAAAUCCUACAGCUUAACUGUAGAACUGCUUUCGAAACUGGUUAUCUAGAAUAUGGAAGAGGCAGAUGGAAUUAGUGGUGUAGGGGUAAAAUCCGUAGAGAUCACUAGGAAUACCGAUUGCGAAGGCGAUCUGCUGGGACAUUAUUGACGCUGAGGCAUGAAAGCGUGGGGAGCAAACAGGAUUAGAUACCCUAGUAGUCC